RNAcentral lists this ribosomal RNA (460 nucleotides) under uncultured bacterium. Its description in RNAcentral is "partial 16S ribosomal RNA". It matches the Rfam family "Bacterial small subunit ribosomal RNA", at positions 338 to 795 of the family's 1533-position model. The record is from RNAcentral.
CCUACGGGUGGCAGCAGUGAGGGAUAUUGGUCAAUGGGCGCGAGCCUGAACCAGCCAAGUAGCGUGAAGGAUGACUGCCCUACGGGUUGUAAACUUCUUUUAUAAAGGCAUAAAGUGAGGCACGUGUGCCUUUUUGUAUGUACUUUAUGAUUAAGGAUCGGCUAACUCCGUGCCAGCAGCCGCGGUAAUACGGAGGAUCCGAGCGUUAUCCGGAUUUAUUGGGUUUAAAGGGAGCGUAGAUGGGUUGUUAAGUCAGUUGUGAAAGUUUGGGGCUCAACCGUAAAAUUGCAAUUGAUACUGGCAGUCUUGAGUACAGUGGAGGUAGGCGGAAUUCGUGGUGUAGCGGUGAAAUGCUUAGAUAUCACGAGGAACUCCGAUGGCGAAGGCAGCCUACUAAACUGCCACUGACACUGAUGCUCGAAAGUGUGGGUAUCAAACAGGAUUAGAUACCCCAGUAGUC